RNAcentral lists this ribosomal RNA (200 nucleotides) under Mycoplasmopsis pullorum. RNAcentral describes it as "Mycoplasma pullorum partial 23S ribosomal RNA". It matches the Rfam family "Bacterial large subunit ribosomal RNA", at positions 267 to 468 of the family's 2925-position model. The record is from RNAcentral. Lineage: Bacteria; Bacillati; Mycoplasmatota; Mycoplasmoidales; Metamycoplasmataceae.
GCCCAAACCAACGAAUGUUGGGGUUGUAGGACAAUCUACAUGAAGUUACAAAUCUAUAUCAUAGCAGAAAGAGUUGGAAAACUCUGGCAUAGAAAGUGAAACCCUUGUAUGCGAAAUGGUAUAGACUUCUGAUUGUAUCCUGAGUAGGGCGGGGCACGUGAAACCCUGUCUGAAUCUGCCGGGACCAUCCGGUAAGGCUA